Molecule: transfer RNA, 72 nt
Filed under: Danionella translucida
Lineage: Eukaryota; Metazoa; Chordata; Actinopteri; Cypriniformes; Danionidae
Also listed under: 1 other name
Rfam family: tRNA
About the family: Transfer RNA (tRNA) molecules are approximately 80 nucleotides in length. Their secondary structure includes four short double-helical elements and three loops (D, anti-codon, and T loops).
Source: Rfam by way of RNAcentral
GGUUAUAUGGUGUAAAAGUUAGCACUCUGGACUCUGAAUCCAGUGAUCUGAGUUCAAAUUUUAGUAGGACCU